RNAcentral lists this ribosomal RNA (547 nucleotides) under Tuber mexiusanum. Its description in RNAcentral is "eukaryotic LSU rRNA". The stretch from base 114 to 267 matches the Rfam family "5.8S ribosomal RNA". The record is from RNAcentral. Lineage: Eukaryota; Fungi; Ascomycota; Pezizomycetes; Pezizales; Tuberaceae.
GCGGAAGGAUCAUUAUUAUAAUGUGUGAAAAUGCCCCUAACACGGGCAUACUCUACAAAACUCUAAACUUACAGUCUGAGAAGGCCAUUGGCCAUAAUCUUUAAACAUUUUAAAACUUUCAACAACGGAUCUCUUGGCUCUCGCAUCGAUGAAGAACGCAGCGAAAUGCGAUAAGUAAUGUGAAUUGCAGAAUUCAGUGAAUCAUCGAAUCUUUGAACGCACAUUGCGCCCUUUGGCAUUCCAUAGGGCAUGCCUGUUCGAGCGUCACUAACAACCCCGUCACAAACAGUGUGGUAUUGGCAGAAGUGGGUAGGGCUGGCAGUGUCGGCCCCACUCUGCUGGAAUGAAUAGGCCGGAAAUGUAGACCAUGAUAACAGACUUUCAGAGUAUCCCCCUGAUGCUAAAUUAGUUUGUAGUCUGGUCAGAAUCCAGGCUGUUGGACCCCCAUUCUGUGUAAAGCAGUAAUGUUGACCUCGGAUCAGGUAGGGAUACCCGCUGAACUUAAGCAUAUCAAUAAGCGGAGGAAAAGAAACCAACAGGGAUUGCC